GACAAGGCCAUAGAAGAAGUCAAUGUCCUGCUCGACAAUCCGCCUUCCACGGAUUCUCAUCCUUGGCGAAUCCGAUAUGAACCUCUUCCUACCCUUUCUAGUGCGCCACAGUGCCCCUCCAUCGAGUCCCCUCCCAAACUUGAGUUAAAGCCACUUCCGGUAACCCUUAAGUAUGCAUUUCUAGGACUCGAAGAUACCCUAUGACAAGAACCCACCAGGAGACCUGCCCUAGGAACCCUUGAAUCAAUUUGCUAUACUUGCCCCGAGAUCGCUAGAAAAACAAGUUGUAGGAGAUCAGAUUAGAACUCUAAGGAAACUAAGUCCUUAAAACCCUAAUCCUUGAAGACGCCACAAAGGUUGAUCACUCCCUUUG
This 373-nucleotide long non-coding RNA is filed under the name Phoenix dactylifera (date palm). Its description in RNAcentral is "long non-coding RNA (PDAC_LNC009742)". The record is from RNAcentral. Lineage: Eukaryota; Viridiplantae; Streptophyta; Magnoliopsida; Arecales; Arecaceae.